AUGGAACCGGUCUCUUAUAAUAGGAUUUUGUUGGAGACAGAAGCACCCGACGCGCUACCAAAGUCAAACAUAUAUUCUCUUUUCUUUGUUGAAGGAGAUACAUCUCUUGUCGAAGAGAUUUAUGGGCAAAGAACAACUUCAUCCUCAACUUCUGAUUCUUCUCCCACUAAUUCCGUUGCCAGUGAAUUUGCAGCAGGGGUGGCUGAAGAAGUUGAUUUGUAG
Vicia faba (fava bean) is the source of this 222-nucleotide non-coding RNA. Lineage: Eukaryota; Viridiplantae; Streptophyta; Magnoliopsida; Fabales; Fabaceae. The record is from the annotation of a GenBank genome assembly.